UUGGUAGAGGUGCAUCAAUUAUCAGUAAACAAUCGGAUAUGUCAGGCAUAGUAGAGGAUUGUUGAAAGGAUGAGAUGCCGAAGCUUUAGAUACCCUGAAGUAUGUAAAGCUGGUCGUAUGAUGAAGAAUCAUGGGACUGUCAUCAACUUAUUGAUGGAGAGCUACCUAA
Molecule: non-coding RNA, 169 nt
Filed under: Lachnoclostridium phytofermentans
Lineage: Bacteria; Bacillati; Bacillota; Clostridia; Lachnospirales; Lachnospiraceae
Description: Lysine riboswitch
Rfam family: Lysine riboswitch aptamer
About the family: Riboswitches are metabolite binding domains within certain messenger RNAs that serve as precision sensors for their corresponding targets. Allosteric rearrangement of mRNA structure is mediated by ligand binding, and this results in modulation of gene expression.
Source: RNAcentral